This 497-nucleotide ribosomal RNA is filed under the name uncultured bacterium. Its description in RNAcentral is "partial 16S ribosomal RNA". It matches the Rfam family "Bacterial small subunit ribosomal RNA", at positions 28 to 507 of the family's 1533-position model. The record is from RNAcentral.
GACGAACGCUGGCGGCGUGCCUAAUACAUGCAAGUCGAACGCUGAAGAGAGGAGCUUGCUCUUCUUGGAUGAGUUGCGAACGGGUGAGUAACGCGUAGGUAACCUGCCUGGUAGCGGGGGAUAACUAUUGGAAACGAUAGCUAAUACCGCAUAAAAUUGAUUAUUGCAUGAUAAUUAAUUGAAAGAUGCAACUGCAUCACUACCAGAUGGACCUGCGUUGUAUUAGCUAGUUGGUGAGGUAACGGCUCACCAAGGCGACGAUACAUAGCCGACCUGAGAGGGUGAUCGGCCACACUGGGACUGAGACACGGCCCAGACUCCUACGGGAGGCAGCAGUAGGGAAUCUUCGGCAAUGGGGGGAACCCUGACCGAGCAACGCCGCGUGAGUGAAGAAGGUUUUCGGAUCGUAAAGCUCUGUUGUAAGAGAAGAACGGGUGUGAGAGUGGAAAGUUCACACUGUGACGGUAUCUUACCAGAAAGGGACGGCUAACUACGUG